Bombyx mori (domestic silkworm) is the source of this 623-nucleotide long non-coding RNA. RefSeq lists it as uncharacterized. NCBI's taxonomy places the organism in Eukaryota, Metazoa, Arthropoda, Insecta, Lepidoptera, Bombycidae. The transcript has 2 exons. The record is from RefSeq and is a predicted model, not a curated record.
UUUUGGUACCAUGACAUGGGGUAAAUUGGGAUCCUGGGGUAAAUUGGGACAAACCUGCGGAAGAUUCUCAAAGUACCUGUAGCACGGAAUCUACCUAAUUUUGUUUAUGUUAAUAUUUAUCAAUGUAUAGAAGAAAAACCAAGUUAACUAUGGAAGUACUAAAUAUGAGUUAAGUUGGGCCCAAAAAUUCUAUAAAUUAAAUUGAAAAUAGUGGUUGAAAAGUGCGUUUUAAAACAGCUUAAAGAACUUUUAAAAAAAGUAAUAUUAUCGUUGUUUUUUCAAUAAGAUCACAGUUUAUAUAAGUUUUUAAUACACCUGGAAAUACCACAACAAACGAAUCUAUUCACGCGUCGAAUCAUGAUUUUGUUAACAUUCAAAACGCACACACAAAUAAAAACAGGCCUCAGAUUUUAAAUGUAACAUUAAUUAAAAAUCCGAGAUAUCCAAUUAUGAGUGAGUGAAUUAAUUGAGUUUAGUUAUUUAGCUAAGAAAGAAUUUCUUUUAUUUUUGUUAUUAUUGGCAGUAAUCAGAUAAAGCUGUUUUUUUAUCUUAUUCACCUGAUAUCUUACUCUUGCUCAAAGAUUAUUUUGAAAAUGUUGAUUAAAUAAAAUUGUAUUAUUGCA